CUCAGAAUGAACGCUGGCGGCAUGCCUAACACAUGCAAGUCGAACGAAUGCCCUUCGGGGUGUUAGUGGCGCACGGGUGCGUAACGCGUGGGAAUCUGCCCUUGGGUUCGGAAUAACAGUUGGAAACGACUGCUAAUACCGGAUGAUGACGUAAGUCCAAAGAUUUAUCGCCCAGGGAUGAGCCCGCGUAGGAUUAGGUAGUUGGUGUGGUAAAGGCGCACCAAGCCGACGAUCCUUAGCUGGUCUGAGAGGAUGAUCAGCCACACUGGGACUGAGACACGGCCCAGACUCCUACGGGAGGCAGCAGUGGGGAAUAUUGGACAAUGGGCGAAAGCCUGAUCCAGCAAUGCCGCGUGAGUGAUGAAGGCCUUAGGGUUGUAAAGCUCUUUUACCCGGGAUGAUAAUGACA
Molecule: ribosomal RNA, 409 nt
Filed under: Sphingomonas sp.
Lineage: Bacteria; Pseudomonadati; Pseudomonadota; Alphaproteobacteria; Sphingomonadales; Sphingomonadaceae
Description: bacterial SSU rRNA
Rfam family: Bacterial small subunit ribosomal RNA
Source: RNAcentral